RNAcentral lists this ribosomal RNA (497 nucleotides) under uncultured bacterium. Its description in RNAcentral is "partial 16S ribosomal RNA". It matches the Rfam family "Bacterial small subunit ribosomal RNA", at positions 28 to 507 of the family's 1533-position model. The record is from RNAcentral.
GAUGAACGCUGGCGGCGUGCCUAAUACAUGCAAGUCGAGCGAACGGACGAGAAGCUUGCUUCUCUGAUGUUAGCGGCGGACGGGUGAGUAACACGUGGAUAACCUACCUAUAAGACUGGGAUAACUUCGGGAAACCGGAGCUAAUACCGGAUAAUAUUUUGAACCGCAUGGUUCAAAAGUGAAAGACGGUCUUGCUGUCACUUAUAGAUGGAUCCGCGCUGCAUUAGCUAGUUGGUAAGGUAACGGCUUACCAAGGCAACGAUGCAUAGCCGACCUGAGAGGGGGACGGGACACGCGGGAACGGAGCAGCGGUCCAGACUCAGAGGGGGGGAGGAAGGGGGGAUUCUUCAGAAAGGGGGGAAGGCGGGAGGGGGAAGGGCGGGGGGAGGGAGGAAGGUCUUGGGAUCGUAAAACUUUGUUAUUGGGGAAAAAAAGAUGGGAAGGAAACUGUGCACAUCUGGAGGGAACAAAAUAAGAAAGCCAGGGCAAAAGAGGGG